This 319-nucleotide long non-coding RNA is filed under the name Phoenix dactylifera (date palm). Its description in RNAcentral is "long non-coding RNA (PDAC_LNC006479)". The record is from RNAcentral. Lineage: Eukaryota; Viridiplantae; Streptophyta; Magnoliopsida; Arecales; Arecaceae.
UGGUGGCACGGCCGAGUGUGGACUGUCCUGGACCACAAAAUUGUUGAUAUUUAGAGGAAGCCCACCAAGCCCAGGCUGUUGACAGAGGAAAUCCACCAAUCUCGGCUAUUUAGACGCAGAAAAGUAGCAACACACCACAAAUGAUUCCAAUUGCAAGGUUGAUUUGGUUUGGUUUGAUUGCAGGUUGAGGCUUAAUUUUCUUCUCAAGGGAACAGAAAAUGCUAGGAAAAUUAACAUUGCUAACAGGGAAAAUUCUUUGAUGCAUCCUUUAUGCCUACAAAUGGGAUCCAUAAGAACUGAUUUAUAAACUAGGAUCAUC